AGGUCUCACGUGUAUUGAAAAAUAGUAGCUCGCAGGUUUGUAGGCGUUAACGGGCCAAUCAGCGAGAGAUGCCGACGAUAAGAGCCAAUGAGCGCCUGGUCUCACAUUGGUGCCAGUUACAAGAACUGAAACCAAGUGGCUGGUCUUUAUUUUUUGCUAUCUGAGUUUUGUGUACCCGUUACCUUGACAACGCAAGUUAGCAAACGCGGGGUCAAGUUACCGGGGCAACAUCCAAUCGCCUUUAACGUCUGCACCAAAGAGUGAUUGAUAAACCUAUAUAUUUACUUAUUUUUCAAUUUUUAUUUGUUGUUGCUUCAUAAUACAAGUUACCUCCAAUUGCUAAAGGUAGAAAAAAUCAAAUCGCCAUAUCAUUAUAUUUUUCUUUCUAAACAGUAAUGCCUUCUCGGGGCACAGACAGUGGUCAAAAGGUUUAACAAUAUACCGUAAAGUGAGUGUUUGGUCGUAACUACGUGUGUGGUUCUGAUAUGUAAGCUCUCAGGGUUUAAGCUUCCUCUCACCCAAUGACAGCUGGGCUCCAGCACCCCUGCGACCUUCAGAGGACAAGCAGUUCAGAAGAUGGAUGAACUAGUCUCACCUCCAGCUUGUAGUGCGAGGGGUGAGAUGGAGCCCAAGCUCUUCCUCAUUGUCUGCCUAGGCGUCCAGGAACAGGAAUGUAAUCCUAAGACUUUGCCAGCCGUAGCCUUGGAUGGAGACAGCCUUGUUUCUGUGACACUGACUGGCAUCAACAAGCUCCCACUGUCCCCAACUACCCUGCACAUGCUCACGCAGCCUUGAAUAUGCAUGAUUUUGUCUGCUCAUUCAUGUGUAUGUGCCGUAUCAUGUAGACCAAUGGGAAUAAACCAUUAAGGCCAUGGACA
This 878-nucleotide long non-coding RNA is filed under the name Betta splendens (Siamese fighting fish). RNAcentral describes it as "lncRNA (ENSBSLG00000008289.1)". Lineage: Eukaryota; Metazoa; Chordata; Actinopteri; Anabantiformes; Osphronemidae. The record is from RNAcentral.